GUUUAUACUUAUGGUGGCGUAAUCUGCCGAACCGUGUCAGGAUGGAAACAUAGCAGCACUAAGGCAAUCUUUGCGGGUAUCAUAUUUGUAAA
Molecule: signal recognition particle RNA, 92 nt
Filed under: Candidatus Melainabacteria bacterium MEL.A1
Lineage: Bacteria; Bacillati; Candidatus Melainabacteria
Also listed under: 1 other name
Description: signal recognition particle sRNA small type
Rfam family: Bacterial small signal recognition particle RNA
About the family: The signal recognition particle (SRP) is a universally conserved ribonucleoprotein involved in the co-translational targeting of proteins to membranes. Archaeal SRP consists of a 7S RNA and homologues of the eukaryotic SRP19 and SRP54 proteins.
Source: RNAcentral